AACAUCGCGCACCUGCGGGAACCUGCGGAGGGAUCAUUACUGAGUGCGGGUUCCAAUGAGCCCAACCUCCCACCCGUGUUUACCGUAACCGCGUUGCCUCGGCGGGCCCACUGGGGCCUGUCCCCGGUCGCCGGGGGGCAUCUGCCCCCGGGCCCGCGCCCGCCGAAGCGCCCUAGAACCCUGCCUGAACAGUGAGUCUGAGUGAGUGAUUGAAUCAUUAAAACUUUCAGCAACGGAUCU
Molecule: unclassified non-coding RNA, 240 nt
Filed under: soil metagenome
Description: partial contains 5.8S ribosomal RNA, internal transcribed spacer 2, and large subunit ribosomal RNA
Source: RNAcentral